UUCAAAGUCUGGCUGCAGUUGUGUAAGCCUGAAUAUGUGAAAGAACAGGAAGUUACAGGAUGAAGGUAUGGACAGCAGGAGAGAAAGAGAGAAGGCACUGGGUGAAGAGGAAGGUAUAGAGAAGAGAUAGGAAGCAAAUACAGAAUAUGGGAAAGUAGAAAGAUAAAGGUGAGAGGAAAGGGAAAUAAAAGAUGAUGAAAAGACAGAAGUGUUCAUGCCAGUGCUCUGGCAAUGUGGGGCUGCAGGGCCAGACACAGCCUUGUGGCUGAAGUAGUGGUGCCUCUGGGGUAACACGUUUAAGAAAAGCACUCAGGCAGAAGGGGAGGGUAAAAAAUAGAGUGUGGAACAGUGAUGUGAACACCAAGGCCAGAGAAGAAUGAAGGAAGGAGGCACUCUGGGCACCAGAGCAGAGGAUCCCUUGCAGGCUGGGAGGGUCACAGCAGGGCAGAUAUCUGCACUGCAACCAGUGGAGGACAUGAUGCUGGGACAUUUGGCUGUUUCCUGAAAGAGGUGCUGCCCACAGAGAGUCCAGGCUGGAGCAGACAAACUGUGAGGAGGAAACAGUGGCAGAGAGUUGCUGGCAGUUGUGGACUGAGUGUAACCCCUAUCCCUCAGUGUGGGAAAGGUAGAGGAACUGGGAAUGAAGGAGGAAGGUUGACCCUAUCAGAAGAAAGCUGUUGUUUUAAUUUCUUUCUUUCUUUCUUUUGGUUGUUUUGUCUUUAUUUCUCUCUACCCAAAUCCUUUUUAAUUGGCAAUAAAUAUGUUUUCAUCAA
Long non-coding RNA from Cyanistes caeruleus (blue tit), 773 nucleotides. RefSeq lists it as uncharacterized. Lineage: Eukaryota; Metazoa; Chordata; Aves; Passeriformes; Paridae. The record is from RefSeq and is a predicted model, not a curated record.